This 253-nucleotide ribosomal RNA is filed under the name uncultured bacterium. Its description in RNAcentral is "partial 16S ribosomal RNA". It matches the Rfam family "Bacterial small subunit ribosomal RNA", at positions 524 to 776 of the family's 1533-position model. RNAcentral also lists the same sequence under 1 other name. The record is from RNAcentral.
UACAGAGGUGGCAAGCGUUGUUCGGAAUUACUGGGCGUAAAGCGCGUGUAGGCGGCUCUUCAAGUCAGGCGUGAAAGCCCCGGGCUCAACUCGGGAACUGCGCUUGAUACUGUCGAGCUAGAGUGUGGAAGGGGCGAUUGGAAUUCCGUGUGUAGCGGUGAAAUGCGUAGAUAUACGGAGGAACACCAGAGGCGAAGGCGGAUCGCUGGGCCAACACUGACGCUGAGACGCGAAAGCUAGGGUAGCAAACGGG